GUUGACCUCUAGAGCUACUUCAACUUCAAGAUGCACAACUUCUGAGUAAUUUUGCAGCUGCACCUCAGCACGUGACCAGCACUGCAAUAGGAGGGAGAAAAGAUGGAUUUGGCUAAGACAACAACCAUGAAAUCUGGGUCAGAAUGAGAACUCUUUGAGCCCAUUUGUGAAACUAAGACACUUUGGAGAUGUG
RNAcentral lists this long non-coding RNA (193 nucleotides) under Chinchilla lanigera (long-tailed chinchilla). Its description in RNAcentral is "lncRNA (ENSCLAG00000022635.1)". Lineage: Eukaryota; Metazoa; Chordata; Mammalia; Rodentia; Chinchillidae. The record is from RNAcentral.